GACGAACGCUGGCGGCGUGCUUAACACAUGCAAGUCGAACGGUAAGGCCCUUCGGGGUACACGAGUGGCGAACGGGUGAGUAACACGUGGGUGAUCUGCCCUGCACUUCGGGAUAAGCCUGGGAAACUGGGUCUAAUACCGGAUAGGACCACUGCCUGCAUGGGUGGUGGUGGAAAGCUUUUGCGGUGUGGGAUGGGCCCGCGGACUAUCAGCUUGUUGGGGGGGUGAUGGCCUACCAAGGCGACGACGGGUAGCCGGCCUGAGAGGGUGACAGGCCACACUGGGACUGAGCUACGGCCCAGACUCCUACGGGAGGCAGCAGUGAGGAAUAUUGCACAAUGGGCGCAAGCCUGAUGCAGCGACGCCGCGUGGGGGAUGACGGCCUUCGGGUUGUAAACCUCUUUCAGCACCGACGAAGCGCAAGUGACGGUAGGUGCAGAAGAAGGACCGGCCAACUACGUGCCAGCCGCCGCCGUAA
RNAcentral lists this ribosomal RNA (478 nucleotides) under uncultured bacterium. Its description in RNAcentral is "partial 16S ribosomal RNA". It matches the Rfam family "Bacterial small subunit ribosomal RNA", at positions 28 to 523 of the family's 1533-position model. The record is from RNAcentral.